AUCACUCCUAGGCCUUUUGGCUAAGAUCAAGGGCAAUAUAUGUUCUUAUCAGUUUACUAUCUGAUAUGUCCUCUAUUGGAGGACAAUAAGCUAAAUGGAUUUUUGGAGUUAGGAGUUGGUCUAGGACCUUGCUCCGUCCACUCCAUGCAUCAAUCUGGUAUUGAACUACCUCCAGAAAUGCUGCACUGAGG
Molecule: small nuclear RNA, 191 nt
Organism: Jaculus jaculus (lesser Egyptian jerboa)
Lineage: Eukaryota; Metazoa; Chordata; Mammalia; Rodentia; Dipodidae
Gene: U2
Rfam family: U2 spliceosomal RNA
About the family: U2 is a small nuclear RNA (snRNA) component of the spliceosome (involved in pre-mRNA splicing). Complementary binding between U2 snRNA (in an area lying towards the 5' end but 3' to hairpin I) and the branchpoint sequence (BPS) of the intron results the bulging out of an unpaired adenosine, on the BPS, which initiates a nucleophilic attack at the intronic 5' splice site, thus starting the first of two transesterification reactions that mediate splicing.
Source: Ensembl